RNAcentral lists this ribosomal RNA (468 nucleotides) under uncultured bacterium. RNAcentral describes it as "partial 16S ribosomal RNA". It matches the Rfam family "Bacterial small subunit ribosomal RNA", at positions 28 to 507 of the family's 1533-position model. The record is from RNAcentral.
GAUGAACGCUGGCGGCGUGCUUAACACAUGCAAGUCGAACGGAAAGGCCAGUGCUUGCACUGGUACUCGAGUGGCGAACGGGUGAGUAACACGUGGGUGAUCUGCCCUGUACUUCGGGAUAAGCUUGGGAAACUGGGUCUAAUACCGGAUAGGACAACUUUUUGGAUAUUGUUGUGGAAAGCUUUUGCGGUAUGGGAUGAGCUCGCGGCCUAUCAGCUUGUUGGUGGGGUAAUGGCCUACCAAGGCGUCGACGGGUAGCCGGCCUGAGAGGGUGUACGGCCACAUUGGGACUGAGAUACGGCCCAGACUCCUACGGGAGGCAGCAAUGGGGAAUAUUGCACAAUGGGCGCAAGUCUGAUGCAGCGACGCCGCGUGGGGGAUGAAGGCCUUCGGGUUGUAAACUCCUUUCGCUAGGGACGAAGCUUUUUUGUGACGGUACCUGGAGAAGAAGCACCGGCUAACUACGUG